This 1850-nucleotide long non-coding RNA is filed under the name Panax ginseng (ginseng). RNAcentral's name for it is "long non-coding RNA (PGIN_LNC002291)". The record is from RNAcentral. Lineage: Eukaryota; Viridiplantae; Streptophyta; Magnoliopsida; Apiales; Araliaceae.
AAUAAAAUCAUAUAUUUAUUCAAUCAAAUAUAAUAUCAAAACGUUAAACAAUUAUAUCAAAUAAUUCCUCUCUAGGGCAUAAACUCUAACAAGAACAAACAUAAGAUAACAGAAAAAUACUAGUAGUAAAUUUAGAGGAUCGGAGGCUAUACAUUUUGAGCUUGAAUAUGCUUGCAUUGCAAUUUAUGAGUUGCAAAGGCAUUGGUCAUGAUUCAAUACCCCUCAAAUGAUAGCUUUUUCUAUGGGCUUAUCCUUUGUAUCUGGUGAUUGGCCGACUUCCGCAUGCUGUCAUAAGAACUUUUUUUUUUAAAAAAUAAAAAAAUAAUCAUACUUAGCCCACAUAUAUAAAUAAUAUUGGCUUCAAAAGAUAUAAUAUAUGAGUGGAUUCAAACGCAGAAUUCCAAAAAUGUCAAAUAAGAAAAAAGACAAUAGCGCCGCUAAAUCCAAGUGAAACAUCCAAAUAAACCAAACUGCAGGCAUUAUCUAUCAAGGUUCUGCAGCCUUUCCAACCUUGUCAAUCAAUAAUUGUAGUACAUUUUCCUCAUUUUGUGGCCCAAGCAAAAAUCACAACUUUCAUUCUCUCAAAUAUUAAUUAUUCUUUUUACUACCUCACAAUCAGUUGUAUGGAGCAUCUUUUUAAUUUGCAUUUUUCUAAAAACUAGAAACACAUUAUUUAAUCGACAACUAACAUUGCAUAGAUUCAAAUUCUUAGUGCCGGAAUUGCUGCCAACAGGCAAUAUGUAGGGAGCUAGCUCUAUAUAUGUGGAAACAAACUAGGAGUAAGAAAAUCAUGAUUCAAUUAAACUUAAACGCACAAAAUCAUGUUCCAGUUUGUUCACUCCAAAGUAUAAUGUGGAGCUGCACAAUAAUAGGAGCUAGAUUCUGAGCUUCAUAUCUUGCAAAUAACAACAAUAAUGAGGCUUCAAAGUAACCCAUCAUGGCAUCUUUUAAUUAUAACUAAAAAAACUAUCGCCCAUAAACAUCAAAAUUUAGGAGCCAAUUACAUUAUUUACAACAAUUCCCACUUACGUUUAUGGGUUUUCAAGUCCCCCAACACACAAACACGAAGCUAAGUACUAGAGGAAGUAUGAACACGUAACAAGUUUAGUUUGGUCACUAUUCAGUCUUGAUCUGAUCGCUGACUAUUGGUCAUAACAGUUGAGAAAAAGCUUUUAUGAGCCAGAAUUUGUUAACACCAAUUGAGAAAAUUCAGAUGAGAAUCAAGUAUUGAAAACCCAUUAUAGAAUUUUAUGGGAAUUCGCCCAAUUUUCCAUGUCAAAUCCAAUGCCCUAACUGGGUAGAACAAUUUCAAACAUGAACAUCAAUACAAAAAACUGACAUUUUGAGCCUCAUAAUAGUAAUUAGCACAGAAACCAAAAUUCAAUGAUAAGCAUAUCCAAAUCAGAGAACAAAAUCGAUAAUACUCAAAUUGAAGACUAACCUUUAAUUAGAUGUAAUGUAAGACCCCAAUGGAGGAGAAGAUGGACAAAUCAACAGCCGCCAUCGCCGAAAAAUAAUGCCACCUCCGAAAAUUAGGGCUUUUAUUUCAAAAUUAGGGAUAAAGUAAGAGAAGAUAUAGAGGGGAAAGAAAGAGGAGAGGGAUGAGGAGGAAGGGGGAUAUGAGGGAGAGGACAGGAGAGGGAGAGGGCUGGACUGAGGGCUCGAAGGAGAGGUAGAUGAGAUGAAGAGAGCAAUGGAGUUCUGCUUUAGUUUUCUUUUUCUUUUAAUCACUCAGCUGCUUCUCUUCUCCUGUGUAAUUAAAAACUUACUCUUAAUUGACGGAAUUUUACGUAGGAAAUAACUUAAUUUCCAUGGAAUAAAUUUGUCGGAAAUACCCGAUUUUCUUGUAC